UUCACGCGCUCACGCGGCACGAGAAGGAAAGUGCUUGCUGGAAAUACAGUCCGUUCGAUGAGAGUGUUGGAACGAUUUCUUCGCCUACGUACGAUGAGCCGACAGUUGUUUCACCGUCAGGACCCACAAUGGUGAGAAAGGUGUGGCGUCGAGCCAGAGUUUGUUUCACCAUCGAGACCCACAGGAAGGUUGCUUGUGGACGAGCCGACGUUUGUUUUACCGUCGGGAUCCACAAGAGGAAGAUAUAUUGGCGCUAUGCGUUCGUAUAUUAGAAGAACUGAUCUUUCAAAUGUUUUAAACUAGAAUUAGAUGUCAGGAAUACAAAUUGCAGAAUGAGAUGAAGACCGAGGUUCCCGCUCGGAUACAUUUCAAGCAUUCAUUACAAUGCUCAAUUUAUUAUAUCUUGGUCGAUUUAUCACGUUAAUACAAUUAAAUAUUAUGUACGUUAGAACACAUUCCCACAUUAUCAUAGUAACUCUAACAUUAGAUAGAUCGUUUAGUUGUUUCAUUAUCCCGUCUUGAAUAAAAGUGUCCCAUUUACGGAAGUGAUUCCUCACGUUACAUGAAAUAGUAAUUAACUCGUGUUAAAUGUUGCUCGUACAGAUAAAAAGAAAUCAGAAAAAAA
This is a non-coding RNA of Megalopta genalis, 625 nucleotides long. NCBI's taxonomy places the organism in Eukaryota, Metazoa, Arthropoda, Insecta, Hymenoptera, Halictidae. The record is from RefSeq and is a predicted model, not a curated record.